RNAcentral lists this ribosomal RNA (231 nucleotides) under uncultured bacterium. RNAcentral describes it as "partial 16S ribosomal RNA". It matches the Rfam family "Bacterial small subunit ribosomal RNA", at positions 103 to 334 of the family's 1533-position model. The record is from RNAcentral.
CGGGUGAGUAACGCGUGGGUAACCUGCCCUGUACAGGGGGAUAACAGUCAGAAAUGACUGCUAAUACCGCAUAAGACCACAGCACCGCAUGGUGCAGGGGUAAAAACUCCGGUGGUACAGGAUGGACCCGCGUCUGAUUAGCUGGUUGGUGAGGUAACGGCUCACCAAGGCGACGAUCGGUAGCUGGUCUGAGAGGACGACCAGCCACACUGGGACUGAGACACGGCCCAG